This is a long non-coding RNA of Gorilla gorilla gorilla (western lowland gorilla), 948 nucleotides long. RefSeq lists it as uncharacterized. The record is from RefSeq and is a predicted model, not a curated record. Lineage: Eukaryota; Metazoa; Chordata; Mammalia; Primates; Hominidae. The transcript has 3 exons.
GUGGUGGUUUGUCACAUAGGUAGGCGGGUGCUUUGUUACAUAGGUACGUGGGUGCCGUGGUGGUUCGUUACAUAGGUACGCGGGUGCCGUGGUGGUUCGUUACAUAGGUACGCGGGUGCCGUGGUGCUUCUUUACAUAGGUAGGCAUGUGCCAUGGUGGUUUGCUGCACCUGCUGCACCUGUUGACCCGUCCUCUAAGUUCCCUCCCUCACCCUCCACCCCUCAACAGACCCCGGUGUGUGUUGCUCCUACUUGAGGCGUUUUUCAUUUACCAGUUGACCAUUCCUAGAGGAAGGUCAUAUACCAGUUAAACUCCACUAUUUUGCUUCUUGGUGCCACGUUUGAGCCCACUCACCCAGCUCCUGAAAUCUUAUCAGAAGCUGCUGAUCACCAGCGUCAGAGCUUGGGAAAAUGACCUCUCAAAAUUUAGAAGACUGGAUGUCACUGACUACCAAAUGAUGAUCACUUUUGAAUGAACAAAAAUCCUUCAGAACUAAGGCAAAUCCUGUGAUCAAUGGAAAUACAGUGGAAGUGACGCUGUCCAAAUCCAGGAGUAGUCCUUUAGAGAAACUGGAGGCUUCUUCAUGUUCCUGCCUCACAUACACACUUCUUCUGUUGUUUUCUCUUCAAUUCAGCAAUGGUGCUAUGAGAAGCUCAUACAUCAAAGAAAAGACAUGUGUAAGCACUUGGAUCAUAGCCCCAGAUGACACUCAGUCGAUAGAAAACAUUGACUGGCAUCCAUGUUGGUGAAACAGCUUGGACAUGCAGCCUUUCCCAGAUGAGAUGGGUCCAACCACUUCUGACUGCAAACGCAUGAGCAACCUUAAGCAAGGACUGCCUAGCUCAUUCCCAUCUACCCACUCAACUAGGAGAGAUGACAAAUCAUCGUCUUAAGUCACCAAGUUUUGGCAUCAUUUGUUAAACAAUAAACCAGAACACCCACUGAAAA